GGGGAUAUAGCUCAGUUGGUAGAGUGUUUGCCUUGUAUACACAGGGCUCUGGGUUCAAAUCUCAGCACCA
This 70-nucleotide transfer RNA is filed under the name Ictidomys tridecemlineatus (thirteen-lined ground squirrel). RNAcentral describes it as "Spermophilus tridecemlineatus (thirteen-lined ground squirrel) tRNA". It matches the Rfam family "tRNA". Rfam says of the family: Transfer RNA (tRNA) molecules are approximately 80 nucleotides in length. The record is from Rfam by way of RNAcentral. Lineage: Eukaryota; Metazoa; Chordata; Mammalia; Rodentia; Sciuridae.